Sapajus apella (tufted capuchin) is the source of this 254-nucleotide long non-coding RNA. RefSeq lists it as uncharacterized. The record is from RefSeq and is a predicted model, not a curated record. The transcript is spliced from 4 exons. NCBI's taxonomy places the organism in Eukaryota, Metazoa, Chordata, Mammalia, Primates, Cebidae.
AGGUAGUAUAUGCAUAUAUGACCAGGUGAUGGACAUUGGUUGAUAAAAUUACACCAAAAACUGAGGUGUGACUGGUUUCUGACUGUGCUGCAAUACAGAGUGUCCUCCGCUCUCCAGCUGAGCCCAAGAUGCUGCCAAUACAGGUCCAAAAAGAUGGUUUUUAUUCUUCAGAACAAUGGACAGGAAGGAUGGAACCAAUGUAGAGGUACACAGCACUGCUGAGAAGGUGAUCUUCCAGCAAAAUAAAUAAAAGG